Molecule: ribosomal RNA, 406 nt
Filed under: uncultured Alphaproteobacteria bacterium
Lineage: Bacteria; Pseudomonadati; Pseudomonadota; Alphaproteobacteria
Description: bacterial SSU rRNA
Rfam family: Bacterial small subunit ribosomal RNA
Source: RNAcentral
AGGCCUAACACAUGCAAGUCGAGCGAAGACUUCGGUCUUAGCGGCGGACGGGUGAGUAACGCGUGGGAACGUGCCCUUCACUACGGAACAGUCCCGGGAAACUGGGUUUAAUACCGUAUACGCCCUUCGGGGGAAAGAUUUAUCGGUGAAGGAUCGGCCCGCGUCUGAUUAGAUAGUUGGUGGGGUAACGGCCUACCAAGUCGACGAUCAGUAGCUGGUUUUAGAGGAUGAUCAGCCACACUGGGACUGAGACACGGCCCAGACUCCUACGGGAGGCAGCAGUGGGGAAUCUUAGACAAUGGGCGCAAGCCUGAUCUAGCCAUGCCGCGUGAGUGAUGAAGGCCUUAGGGUCGUAAAGCUCUUUCGCCAGGGAUGAUAAUGGCAGUACCUGGUAAAGAAACCCCGG